This 256-nucleotide long non-coding RNA is filed under the name Elaeis guineensis (African oil palm). RNAcentral's name for it is "long non-coding RNA (EGUI_LNC070420)". Lineage: Eukaryota; Viridiplantae; Streptophyta; Magnoliopsida; Arecales; Arecaceae. The record is from RNAcentral.
AUUCUAACUUUGUUGAUCCAGACUUGAGAAUGAUGUUUCAAGCCACACAUGCAUCUGGCCUCUAGGAGUCAUCUGCACGAGCCCACGAAUCACGAUCAGAAGUUCUGGUCCAAAAAAUCAGCACAGUAUGCUAGUACUGCCCUGAUCCUUCUUCGAUGGUCGAUCAGAUGCCUUCUUCUUCUUAAUUAGGACUCUUCCAAAGAUGAGAAGUAUAAGAAGAAGUUUUUGAUCUGAGACACUUUCAGAAACCUCAAGA